This 552-nucleotide ribosomal RNA is filed under the name uncultured bacterium. Its description in RNAcentral is "bacterial SSU rRNA". It matches the Rfam family "Bacterial small subunit ribosomal RNA", at positions 546 to 1095 of the family's 1533-position model. The record is from RNAcentral.
CGGAAUUACUGGGCGUAAAGCGUGCGCAGGCGGUUGUGCAAGACCGAUGUGAAAUCCCCGAGCUUAACUUGGGAAUUGCAUUGGUGACUGCACGGCUAGAGUGUGUCAGAGGGGGGUAGAAUUCCACGUGUAGCAGUGAAAUGCGUAGAGAUGUGGAGGAAUACCGAUGGCGAAGGCAGCCCCCUGGGAUAACACUGACGCUCAUGCACGAAAGCGUAGGGAGCAAACAGGAUUAGAUACCCUGGUAGUCCACGCCCUAAACGAUGUCAACUAGUUGUUGGGGAUUCAUUUCCUUAGUAACGUAGCUAACGCGUGAAGUUGACCGCCUGGGGAGUACGGUCGCAAGAUUAAAACUCAAAGGAAUUGACGGGGACCCGCACAAGCGGUGGAUGAUGUGGAUUAAUUCGAUGCAACGCGAAAAACCUUACCUACCCUUGACAUGCCACUAACGAAGCAGAGAUGCAUUAGGUGCUCGAAAGAGAAAGUGGACACAGGUGCUGCAUGGCUGUCGUCAGCUCGUGUCGUGAGAUGUUGGGUUAAGUCCCGCAACGA